Long non-coding RNA from Polypterus senegalus (gray bichir), 1371 nucleotides. RefSeq lists it as uncharacterized. NCBI's taxonomy places the organism in Eukaryota, Metazoa, Chordata, Cladistia, Polypteriformes, Polypteridae. The record is from RefSeq and is a predicted model, not a curated record. The transcript has 4 exons.
CAGAGGUGGAGUUGGAGGUGUUAAUGCAGGCGUUUGAAGAAUUCAAGCCUAUCAUAAUGAAAAAAAGUAAUACGGCUGCAUCGGCUAAAGAAAGAGAGUUGGCUUGGCAAAAAAUAACGGACAGAGUAAAUGCGUGAGUGUAUUAAAUUGCAAAAUUGACAUCGCCUCCCUUUUAUUAUACUGUAAAAUAACGAAACACCCCUUCCGCACCCUUUUCACUGUUCAAUCACUUUGAAUGCAUUCACUUUUCCUGCCAUUCAUUUCUUUAGGUUAAAAUAACAAUGUGUAUUGACUAGGAAUAUAUGGUUUCUUAUUUAAUAAGGUGUAAUCCGUCUGGAUGCAGAAGAACUUUGAGGCAAGUCAAAAUGAAACAUAGAAACAUACUGCAAAAAGGUAAUAGUUGAUUACACGCUCACUGAACUAUUGAUUAAACACGAUUUAGUAUAUUCUGUCUGUCAUGUAGCUAAUAGAAAGCAAGCUGAAGCCCGUCUAACUGGCUGGGGGCCCACCACCACCUCCCCUCACCCCAUCUGAGGAGCUGGCUCUGUCCCUUAAUAAAGGGCGACCAGUGGUUGCUGGCAUUCCAGGGGGCACUUCGUCACACACACCAUGCACCACAAGUAUGGUGAAAUGUAAGUUUACCACUAUGAUUUGUUUUCACUCUAUGACUUAAUAAAUUACUAUCUCUGUCACUUAAAGGCUUCUUCAACAUGCUUCAUGUUUUUAUGCAGGCUGACUUUAUUGAACUGCAUAUGCUGUGUAGGCUACUGUGUGCCUCGUUGUAUUACUGUGACAUGUUUUUUUCCUGCAUUUUUGGUUUUUUCUUUGAUAAUAUUGAGAAUUUUAUGGGUUGUAUUUUCCUAUAGAUACUGAUAGUGGGAUUGUAUUAUUGGACCCUACAGAAAGGACACAGUCUGUCACAGCUCUAAGUGUUUUGUUGUCAGGUACCUUUAGUUGCUUUUAGAUAUUUUGUUUCUUUUUGCCAGAUAAUGUAUACUUGCAUAUUUCCUCUAUAGGUUGAAGAUGACGAUGAAGAGACCACAUCUGCUGUGACAGAAGUGGACAAUGCUGGUGGAUCCACUGAGUACAUACCUGGGGAUUUGCCCACAGAUGACGGUCCUUCAACCUCAAUGCACGAUCUAAGCAGUUUGCCAGCAAAGGAGCUGUAUAAGGUCCAUCUUCAAAAACAAAUAAGAAAAAGUGACAUGGAGACGGACCUUAUACAGCUUCAAAUGGAGGCGAAAAGGCUAUCCAUGAAAAAAGCAACAUUAGAAAUAGAAUUACUGGAGCAUCGCCUUAAGGAAAUAAAGAAAUGAACCACACCGCAGACCAGUGCACACAAUUUAAUAAAAGUAAUUCUGAGAAAUCCUG